GGGUGAGACCUGAUGCCGAGCCGAUUGUGGUGAAGUGGAUGAUCCUAUGCUGUCGAGAAAAGCCUCUAGCGAGUUUCAUGGCGGCCCGUACCCUAAACCGACUCAGGUGGUCAGGUAGAGAAUACCGAGGCGUUCGGGUGAACUAUGGUUAAGGAACUCGGCAAAAUGCCCCCGUAACUUCGGGAGAAGGGGGGCCAUCACUGGUGAUCCGAUUUACUCGGUGAGCUGGGGGUGGCCGCAGAGACCAGCGAGAAGCGACUGUUUACUAAAAACACAGGUCCGUGCGAAGCCGUAAGGCGAUGUAUACGGACUGACGCCUGCCCGGUGCUGGAACGUUAAGGGGACCGGUUAGUGCACUUUCGGGUGUGCGAAGCUGAGAACUUAAGCGCCAGUAAACGGCGGUGGUAACUAUAACCAUCCUAAGGUAGCGAAAUUCCUUGUCGGGUAAGUUCCGACCUGCACGAAUGGCGUAACGACUUCUCGACUGUCUCAACCAUAGGCCCGGUGAAAUUGCACUACGAGUAAAGAUGCUCGUUUCGCGCAGCAGGACGGAAAGACCCCGGGACCUUUACUAUAGUUUGAUAUUGGUGUUCGGUUCGGCUUGUGUAGGAUAGGUGGGAGACUUUGAAGCGGCCACGCCAGUGGUUGUGGAGUCGUCGUUGAAAUACCACUCUGGUCGUGCUGGAUGUCUAACCUGGGUCCGUGAUCCGGAUCAGGGACAGUGUCUGAUGGGUAGUUUAACUGGGGCGGUUGCCUCCUAAAGAGUAACGGAGGCGCCCAAAGGUUCCCUCAGCCUGGUUGGCAAUCAGGUGUUGAGUGUAAGUGCACAAGGGAGCUUGACUGUGAGACCGACGGGUCGAGCAGGGACGAAAGUCGGGACUAGUGAUCCGGCAGUGGCUUGUGGAAGCGCUGUCGCUCAACGGAUAAAAGGUACCCCGGGGAUAACAGGCUGAUCUUCCCCAAGAGUCCAUAUCGACGGGAUGGUUUGGCACCUCGAUGUCGGCUCGUCGCAUCCUGGGGCUGGAGUCGGUCCCAAGGG
RNAcentral lists this ribosomal RNA (1039 nucleotides) under Streptomyces sp. ScaeMP-e48. RNAcentral's name for it is "bacterial LSU rRNA". It matches the Rfam family "Bacterial large subunit ribosomal RNA", at positions 1554 to 2571 of the family's 2925-position model. The record is from RNAcentral. Lineage: Bacteria; Bacillati; Actinomycetota; Actinomycetes; Kitasatosporales; Streptomycetaceae.